Saccostrea echinata is the source of this 234-nucleotide long non-coding RNA. RefSeq lists it as uncharacterized. The transcript has 3 exons. Lineage: Eukaryota; Metazoa; Mollusca; Bivalvia; Ostreida; Ostreidae. The record is from RefSeq and is a predicted model, not a curated record.
AACCCUGAUUUGACUGAAGAUUGCACGAUCACAAUACAGGUUCAAUAUACAGUCUGUCUGCUAUGAAUAACAUGGAAGAACACCACGACCCUAGGCUUGCUUCAGAAUAGAAAACCUGUAUUAAUCAACAGAACCUUAAAAUUGGAGACUCCACUGAAGUGCCACCCGGUACCUUAACAUGUGACAAUUUCAAAUCCUAUGAUGAGGUUCCAAGGGGUUGUAAAAUGAAAGAAA